GGUUGAUCCUGGGUAACUGAAAUCAUGGAAAGCAAAUCCAUGGAUAAGGGGGAACUCCUGUAAUGUCUGAAAACCAGAUCUUGAAUAACCAGUUGGAGCAGAAGAACCUGUCUGCAUCCCAAGCGCAAGUUGCACGGAGUUCAAAAGCUCUUAUGUCGAGUACCCUAGAUGUUUUGGCUGAAGACAGUUUGCACCAUUUGAGAGAAGCUCAUCAAUCUUAAAGAAAAACGUCUGCCAUGUGUUGGGCAUCCAUAACAGCCGGGCUGACUAUCACUCUGUGGCUCCAAAGGCGUCAACAGUGAGAGCGGAUCUGGACUCCUGCGAAGUGUGAUGGAAUUGGCUGGAUUUCAUGUGACGAGCUCAGAUUAUGGCCCUUUGUCCCGAGCAGGCAUGAGAGAAACAGAAAGGCUCGAUACGGGCCCUGCUUCCCAAGACUACAAGGGACCAUUUAUGGUGAUUUUUUUAGA
Molecule: long non-coding RNA, 467 nt
Organism: Suricata suricatta (meerkat)
Lineage: Eukaryota; Metazoa; Chordata; Mammalia; Carnivora; Herpestidae
Exons: 3
Source: RefSeq, a predicted model, not a curated record